GCCUGACUGGCUCAGUAGGAAGAGCAUGCGACUGCUGAUUUCAAGGUUGUGAGUUCAAGCCCCACAUUAGGUG
This is a transfer RNA of Felis catus (domestic cat), 73 nucleotides long. It matches the Rfam family "tRNA". Rfam says of the family: Transfer RNA (tRNA) molecules are approximately 80 nucleotides in length. Their secondary structure includes four short double-helical elements and three loops (D, anti-codon, and T loops). The record is from Rfam. Lineage: Eukaryota; Metazoa; Chordata; Mammalia; Carnivora; Felidae.